Macaca mulatta (Rhesus monkey) is the source of this 4281-nucleotide long non-coding RNA. Lineage: Eukaryota; Metazoa; Chordata; Mammalia; Primates; Cercopithecidae. The record is from Ensembl.
CCGCGCGUCCCCUCCCAGCUGCAUUCCUGCCGCCCGCCUGGCCCUCCGAUCCCCUCCCCGCCUGCCGCCGCGCCCCUCCCGGCCCGGUGCUGGGGGUCGCACUGUCCCCGGGGACGGCUGGGGCUAAGCCGCGCCCUUGGCCCGGAGGGCAAGGCCCGAACCUACUCUGCUGGUGACCUGGGCAGGCGGCCUCUACCCGCGGGGCCCCACGCGCGUCGAAUUAACGCCUUCCAACCGUUUAUUGAAUUUAAACGUAAUGGGCCACUCGCGCAUCGGGUCGCGCAGAGGUGGACCCAGUCGGCCUCCCCUGCAGCGCAGGCGGCGCCUGGUCCCAGGAAAGCUCCCGGAGGGUCUGGGGUGCGGGCUGGGGCCAGGCGGGCUCUGGGGCAGAGCAGGGUGAGGCCUCUUGCAGGCCCGGUCGAGGUCCUGGGGGACGUCGGGGUCCUCCUCAGGAGACAGCGCCACUUCCAAGAGGUCCUAAGACAAAGGGGGCCAGUAGGGGCCUCUGGGUGGGAGGCAGGCUGCGCUUCUCCACAGCCCACUUCCCUCACAGCCUACCCCAGGGUCACCCCCUGCCAGGUCCCUGUCCUGGUGACCCCACCUGGGCCCCCAACCACCCCACCUGCUUCUGCCUUGGACAGAGAGGCCUGAGCCCUCCCGCGUGCCUGCCCACCACGUUCUCAUUCCAAGGACAUCUGCUCAGCGCCCUGUGGGUUUUCUCCUUCCCUGCCCAGUCCCCACAGCCAUGCCUUCCAAGUCCCUUACCAGCCUGGGCAAGGCUGGCACCUGUGGACUGUGAAUGGGUAUUGGGGUGGCAGCGAGGGAGUUCCACUGUAGCCCAGCCAUCUGCAAUUCAGAGUUGGAUAUUGGGGCUGACUGUCCUAAGUCCCCUCCUCACGGACCCUCUGUCCUCAGACCCCCGUCAUCUCCUUGCUGGGGCCGCUCACCCUCCCAUCCUUCAAGAAAGCAGCUCCUUUCUUUGUCACAGCCCUCCUUCAGUCACCUGUGCCCGGAGUGGGUGGUGGGUGGUCAGUUUAUCCUUCACGCCCAGACACCCAGGAGACCACCUCCCGGUAGAAAGCACCCUCUCGCAGAAUGCGGCAGCACAGAGGUCACAGUGGCUCCCAGGCAGCCCUUCCCUCCUGCAAAGUCAGAUGGAGGUCUAAGGAACCAAGUGCUCCGCCUGAACGAGGAUGACCUGGAGAGGUCUGUCGCCUGAAUGAGAGUCACUGAGUUUACACUGCAGGAGAGCUGCUCCCAAGACCAAGGCCCUGCGAUUCCCAGAGGCCGUCGGACCGCGGCAUCCCUUGGUGUGCACAGUGGGCGUGGAGAAGGACCCAGAGUCUGGAGCCUACAUCCUGGAGGACUGUGUAUCUUGGGAGGGGCCGGGGCUUGUUUAUACUUUCAUUGUUUGACUUGCUGCAUGCUUAAUGGUAGUUUCCUGAACAAGGUCCUGUUUCACCCCAAGGGCCCUGAACUUUAGGACGCUGACUGUGUCAAAGCAAGGUUAAACACAAACAAGCCGCAAGAAAAGGAAAGUCAAAACCAGAGGCACUGGAGGGAUCACAACAAAAAGCACCUUGAGAAGCACCGCGCCUACAAGACAGCAGCGCAGCAUGGCCGGCUCCCUGCCUCAAGCACCAGACACACUAACCCAGGUUCCGAGAGGGGGCAGGUCAACCCUGGAUAAAAUAAACUCCAGGAGGCCGGGCACAGUGGCUCACGCCUGUAAUCCCAGCACUUUGGAAGGCCGAGGCGGGCAGAUCACUUGAGGUCAGGAGUUCAAGACCAGCCUGGCCAACAUGGUGAAACCCCGUCUCUACUAAAAUAUGAAAAUUAACCAGGUAUGGUCGUGGGCACCUGUAAUCCCAGGUACUUGGGAGGCUGAGGCGGGAGAAUUGCUUGAACCCAGGAGGCAGAGGUUGCAGUGAGCUGAGAUUGUACCACUACACUCCAGCCUAGGUGACAGAGCAAGACUCCAUCUCAAAAAAAAAAAAAAAAGGAAACUCAAGGAAAGGAAAUGCAAAGGGUGGAGAAAGGAAUAAAAAUGUUGUUUAGCAAACCAAGGCUGGUUUCGGAACUCCAUCUGAUAUGGCCCAGACUUCCAAUCCAAAAGGAAGACCGUGCUGGCCAGACAGGUGGUCACCAUUAGAUUCUUAGUGCUUGACCCAACAGGUGCAGAGGCGUGUCUGUGUCUGUCUAAGAACACGUUUGAAUGCUGUACAAGACACAUACGUGAACCUUGUACCACAUGCACAGCUUUCAAACAUGCUCUUAUAUUCUCCAAGCCCUUUAGUGGGAAUGUCCCCUACAUACAUUUAUGCUUUGUGCCUUCCUACUUAUGAAAUUAACCCCUCAUUGUCACACUUGCUGAUAUGCAUGCUAUAUGCCCAUAGCAUGCCACGGUCUGUACACAGUGCAACCUUGUAGUUUCCAUGCAGUAAUAACAUAUCCCUCACAUUUGUAAUCAUGGGUCAAGGAAUAACUCUUCCAAGAUUUUCAAAGUCGAAAGGCCUGUCUCAAACAGUUCCUGACUUACACAUAUUCCUUCAAAGGCAUCCCAUCUGCCGGAGGAGUCCAGUUGAGUGGGACAACAGUGGUGUGUACCAGGGGAGUACACAGAAGGUCAGGGCUCAAAUUCCAGUCCUGCGGCGCACCAGCACCGUGAUCGUGAAAGCGGCACCAGUCCCGUGAUCGUGAACCCCGCACCAGCUCCGUGAUCGUGAACCCCACAUGAGCUCCGUGAUCGUGAACGAGACACCAGCCCCGUGAUCGUGAACCCUGCACCAUUUCCGUGAUCCUGAACGCGGCACCAGCUCCGUGAUCGUGCUAAAUGGCAUAGUAAUUCUGGCCAACCAUGAUGAAAUUUGAAUGAUUUAUUAGACUAGUCAAAACUGCCAGAUUGGCCACUUUUAAUUGGCCAUUUUUCACCAUUUAAACACACCCAGGUCUAGUCCAAUGGCAAAUGCGGUGAGUCACCUAAUCCCAGUCUGUGUGAUGGAAAGUGGAUGUCAGCCCGUGGAGACAGUAGCUCAGUUUUCUGCUUAUGAUGUUGACUGCACCCAGUCUACAGGGGAAGAGCAAGUCGUGCCCACCCCUGCCCCUUCUGAGAAGAGGGCCCCACAAAGCUUCCCUCUGCUUAGGGAGGGGAGUCAGGAAAUGGCCCAUCACUCCUUGGUGUCUUGUCCUGGUGUGGACACCUCCUCCCUGCAGGAAACGUCCUGCCCCAAAAGGGUGACACUUCUGUUAAGUACCAAGUAUCACUGACUCCAGCGUGCAGUUGCAGGGUGGGAAACAGGAAGCUGCACCCCCCAAAAUGGAACAGCCCAACGGGUUCACCUUGCCCACUGCCAAAUUAUCAAGACGGAUAAUUGCAGUCGAGAAAGAGUAAUUUAUGCAGAGCUGGCUGUGCGAAGACUGGAGUUUUAUUACUCAAAUCGGUCUCCCUGAAAACUCGAGGAUCAGAGAUUGUAAGGAUAAUUUGGUGAGCAGGGGCUCGGGAAGUGGAGUGUUGAUUGGUCGGGUUGGAGAUGGAAUCAGAGGGGGUUGAAGUGGGUUUUUGUUGCUAUCUUCUGUUCCUGGGGGGAUCGCAGAACUGGCUGAGCCAAAUACCAGUCUGGUCGGUCAGCUGGUACAUCAGAAUGCAGGGUCUGCAAUAUCUCAAGCACUGAUCCUAGGUUUUACAGCAGUGAUGUUAUUCCCAGGAGCAAUGUGGGGAGGUGUAGAAUCUUGCAGCCUCCAGCUGCAUGGUUCCUAAAUCAUAAUUCUAAUCUUGUGGCUAAUGUGUUAGUCCCCAGGCAGGAAGGGGGUUUGUUUUGGGAAAGGACUGUUAUCAUCUCUGUUUCAAAGCUAAACCAUAAACUAAGUUCCUCCCAGAGUUAAUCUGGCCUACGGCCAGGAAUGAACAAGGACAGCUUGGAGGUUAGAAGCAAGAUGCAGUCAGUUAGGUCAAAUCUCUUUCACUGUAAUAAUUGUCUCAGUUAUAAUCUUUGCAAAGGUGGUUUUAAAAAUAUUGCUCCAGGACCCCAAAUGUCUGAAGAAUUGGCCUUAGCACGUUACUGUAUUAUCAAUAUUUUGCCAGUCAGCAGACAACAAAAAGGGGAGAGGAAGUCUGGAUUGUCCAUCUUGGGUGGUGUUAGUGUUGGUGUUGGUAGUGAUGGUGGUGGAAGUGGAGGUGAUGGUAGGAGUGAUUGUUACAGUGGUGUUGAUGUUGAGGGUGUCAGUGUUGGUGGUGGAAUGGUGGUGAUCAUGGUGGCAGUGAUGGGGGUGGCAAUAGUGGUG